ACUCAAAGGAAUUGACGGGGACCCGCACAAGCGGUGGAGCAUGUGGUUUAAUUCGAUGCAACGCGAAAAACCUUACCACUUCUUGACAUGGAAAUCAUACCUAUUCGAAGGGAUAGGGUCGGUUCGGCCGGAUUUCACACAGGUGUUGCAUGGCUGUCGUCAGCUCGUGUCGUGAGAUGUUGGGUUAAGUCCCGCAACGAGCGUAACCCUCAUCCUUAGUUACCAUCAGGUAAUGCCGGGGACUUUAAGGAAACUGCUAGUGAUAAACUGGAGGAAGGUGGGGAUGAUGUCAAGUCAUCAUGGCCCUUAUGGAGUGGGCUACACACGUGCUACAAUGGUGGCUACAAUGGGCUGCAAAGUCGCGAGGCUAAGCUAAUCUCUUAAAAGCCAUCUCAGUUCGGAUUGUACUCUGCAACUCGAGUGCAUGAAGUUGGAAUCGCUAGUAAUCGUGGAUCAGCAUGCCACGGUGAAUACGUUCUCGGGUCUUGUACACACCGCCCGU
This 502-nucleotide ribosomal RNA is filed under the name uncultured bacterium. RNAcentral's name for it is "bacterial SSU rRNA". It matches the Rfam family "Bacterial small subunit ribosomal RNA", at positions 899 to 1397 of the family's 1533-position model. The record is from RNAcentral.